RNAcentral lists this long non-coding RNA (938 nucleotides) under Equus asinus (donkey). Its description in RNAcentral is "lncRNA (ENSEASG00005037788.1)". Lineage: Eukaryota; Metazoa; Chordata; Mammalia; Perissodactyla; Equidae. The record is from RNAcentral.
UUCUCUGGGGGCUCUUUCUGCCUGCAUCUGGUUUGCAGGCCCAGGUUGCCGUCUGCUUGGAGUCUGGGCCAGGAGGAACCGGAGGGGAAAAUGACGUUGAACCAUCUCUGCAUCCCUGGAAUAAAUCGUUCUUGAUCAUGGGACCUGUGGGGGCAAGAUGGAGGGCAGUUUCUGGCAGGCUAACAGAGGUCCUGGGGCAGCACCUCUCCCACACUGCUGGAUCCAGGUUCCAGAGGCUUCUAGGCUGACAACUCACCUGAAACUGCAGUCAGGGGAAUCCAGCUGUUUGUCAUCAUGAAAGCUCAUGGAGCGAGAGUUCUAACUCUUGAUUGUCUGUGUGGCUUCCUCUCACGAUGGCAGCUUUACUGAGGCACCAGCCCAGGGGUCUGAGAGGAGCUCCCGCCCCUGCCGUACACCCACAACGUCACAGUGAGAAGGCAGUCAGCACCCCAUCAGGACAGAAGCCCGUACCCUGACUUGCGGACUUUCUGCUGGAAUUUCUAGCAGAGUUUACCCUUGGUCUUUCCCUGCAUAUGAACAUUAACACCGGCUUUCAGAGACCUGGACACCUUUACAGAGGCAAAAGGUUUAAAAAGAAAAAAUUAGAUUUUAUUUGAGAUAAGCAAAGGAUAUGAAUAAAUCAUCAAAUGAAACCAUUUGAAGUCAUUUCACAAAUACUUUAAGAAACCCACCAAUAAAAGCCCAAAGAACCAGUAAUAAGCUGCGUAUGCCACAUUUUUACUUUUAUGCAAAAGACAAGUAAACAAGCUGCUAUCAAGGAUGUAUUCCUUCAGGAGAAGGAAGUUCCAAGAUUCAUUGUAGGGUCAGCACAGCCGCACUCAGUCCCCGGGCCUCUUUAACAAUUUGUGGCCCGAAUCAUCUCCAAAGAAAAGUGAGUUUCAAGAAUGUUCUAUGUGGGCAUUUUUACGAUGCCCGUA